Long non-coding RNA from Camelus dromedarius (Arabian camel), 4656 nucleotides. RefSeq lists it as uncharacterized. The transcript has 3 exons. The record is from RefSeq and is a predicted model, not a curated record. Lineage: Eukaryota; Metazoa; Chordata; Mammalia; Artiodactyla; Camelidae.
GGCCAACUCAGGAACAGGUCUAUUCUGCUGGAGUCUGAACUAUGUGCUAAGUAGCUAUCUGUGCAUGUUUAGAGCUUCCUGGUCCAGCUAAAGGAUGGUGACAGCAAAGUCCAAAACAGGAUUGCGGGGAAACAAUCAGGGUUGGAAGAAUUGUCCAAAAUUGGUGGUCCUCCCCAGCAAAACUGACAUCGAAGAAUGAAUUUCAUUCCUAACUGAGGUUGAGGGUUAAUCUGUACAUCGUUUAAAAUGCAGAAACAAGCCUGCAACCUCUUUCCUGGAGACCAGAGAGCAGUCAAGGCGCUCGGCUGACUCAGGGAGAAUCCAGUCCAGUGGAGGGAGGUGGCCAACACUACAUCCAGUAUCCGACGGUGCCGCCGGAAAGGAGGAACAGACACUGGUAAACAAAAGGCCUCCACAGUGUGCUUGCGGUGGCCGGGUCCAGGGCUCAGCGGUGAGAAGUGCUGGUUGAGGUCCUGAAGGUGGGGAGAAUCCACCCGCCCGCUCCUUGAUUACGGCGGACGAGUGUGCUGCUCGGUGGGCCUGGGCAAUUAGCGUUCGCGUUAAGCAGUUACGGGGUUAAGUGCUACCAGGGGUUUGAGCCGGGCUGACAGAGCCUGCGCUGCAGAGUGGGGUGGUUGCCUAGCAACAACACCUGUAGCACAUUAAGCAGCCAGUCAGCUUCGUCAACUUCUAACAGGGGCUUUGUGGAGCGGCAGAUGGGGGUGUAGGGAGGAUUAGGGGGGCACGGAAGUGGAAAGCUGGACAGUGGGUCUCAGGACGGAAGAUGGGGCAGAAUCACGUGUCUGGAGAGGCCCACCAACCCGGCUUUCUGCCUGUUUUCCUCCAGCAAGAGGCAGGUGGGCAGCUCAGGUGGGAGUUCCGGGGUGCCUCUCCUUCCUAUGGCUCUUGCCUCUUCCUCAGACCCUCACAGGAAGCACCAAGGGAGGUUGGAACCCCCUCCCUCCCCGCAAGCUCUCUCUCAAAGAACGCAUCUCGGGAUUUGCCUUUUUGAGGAGGGGUUGGGAGAAUGAUGGGGAGGAGGUACUCUGUGCUUUGUUUUCAGAUUCAGAAGGGGACAUCUUUCUGCUGACUCGUCUUCCAGGAAGGGCCACAGAGAACAAAAGCUAAGACCGUGAAAGGGGAAACUCUUUGUCACCACCUUCCUUUCACACCUGCCCACACAUCCCUCUGGACCACUCUCAUGCACACCAGAGAUAUGACUCAAGAAGAGAAAAGCUUUGGGGAAGGGCAGAGAGCUUAAUAAUAUUGUUGCUGCCACCUUUACAGAAUUCAUGAUCUAGCCAGCCUCUUGGCUUUUCUCGGAAUUCCCAAGCUACCUCUGUCUGAGUCGGGGUUGGAGGGGUGCAGACCAGUGUACCCGAUGGGAGGGGACUAUUCCAAAUGUAGCCCCGGCAACCAGAAAACUUGGGGUCAACUCCACUCUGUCAUUUAUAAGCUGUAUAGCUGUGGGCCAACACCUGUGGUGAGGCUCAAUUUUCUCAUCUGGACACUGGGGGGUAAUUACACCUGCCCUACUUAUCAUAUGGGGAUCAGAGGUGGCAGUUUAAGUAGAAGCGUGUUACAGACGCUAUAAAUCCUCCUACGUGUGUAAGUAUUCGUCACACCAAGAAGAUGUCCAUAUAGAUGGUCUUCUGGACUAGCCUGACUGUUUGCUGUUUGGCCCCAAGCAGAGGAGAAAUGGACACAGCCACGUGGCUGUUGCCGGGUAACUCGGUGGCAGAAUGGCUCUGAGAGGAGGCCUAUUCAACUCUUCUAUUCUGGGUUCACUGGUUCAAAUCCAGCCCUAGGCUAACAAUUACUGUAAUCAUUGGGUUUGGAAUUCAGAGAGUCCGACUUUCAGAAACCCUUUUGCUUAUCUAUUACCCACUGAGUUUUCAUCACACACUUCUGCAUGAGGGGAACCGGGAGAGGGGCCGGAGGACCUGGCUCAUGGUCCCAAACAUGCCUCUGCCCACCUUCCUCUCCGCAGAUCAAGGCUUCUCUUGCUAGAUUAUCUUUAAAGGCAGUCCAGUGACCAAAGCGGGCAUGUGUGCCCUCUGGCUUGGAAACCCACAUCAGCAUGCCGGCCGCAGCUGAGGCCACCUGAGUGUCCCCGUCCUGCUCUCAUUCUCCCUUCACAUCUGAAAAAGCAGGCAAGCCACCCUUUCCACACCACAGCUAAGACACAUCCUCCCUGACCCUUUAAGUCACACCCCAUGGAUUAGAAAAAAACAGAACACGUGCAGAAACCCGCAGACUGAAGACCCAGCCAGGCUAAAGCUCCAGGCCUCCGUGUGGGCGUGUGGGCUCCCUGCCUGAGUGGCCACGGGGCCUGUGGACGCCCUGCCACCCCCGGGGGUGACAGAGAGUGUGACCAUGUCUGCAAGCUGCUCAGUCCCCGGCUUCUCCACGCCCCGCCCGUGUUGUGCCAGUAUGUUCAUGCUCUGGGUUAUAUUUAACUCAAGUCAUAAUAUUUAGGGGGGGGGUGGGGUUGGAAGCCUGCUGUUUCACCAAGAAAGGCAUUUGAAUAGUCUCAGUUCCAGAGAAUUCCAAGGGCUCGGGGAAGAGAGUGAAGCGGUUGGCCCAGAUUUGUCUGACACAUUGCGGUCACGUGGACCCCAUUAGCGGAUGACUGAGGCGGCGAGCAGGCAGCCUAAAGGAAUGUUGUAGAAACGAUGAAGAGGAGCCAGACCAGGAUCGCCUUGAGGACAUAGAUUCACCCAUUUCCAGAUUUCAUGGUCACUCUGUUAUCACAAGCAACUGUGUACAGUUCUGACUUAUUUAGAAAACAGAAAGAGACUUACCAACAUAGAAGGCAAACUUACGAUGACCGAAAGGGAAAGGCGGCGGGGGGGGGGGGGUGUACAUUAGGAGUUUGGGAUUAGCAGAUACAAACUACUAUGUGUAUAUGUUUUUAAAAGCUGAAUCUCUAAGUACAUUUUCCAGAAGUUCUUUCCAUGUUACAGAAUACAACAAAUUUCUCUGGGAGACUGAAACUUUUUUUUUUUUUUUUUUUUGGCAUCACGUCACGACUUCCCCAAGCCACGAAGGGCAGUUGGGACGGAAUCCCAAAUGCUCAGAGGCGGAGUCUCUGAGUAGAUGGAGAGUGAGGACAGGCGUGCUCGCCACGUGUUUCUUAUUAUGGUGUCUAGACACAGGCAGGUCUCAAAGCUGCAGGGGGAGGAGAAGUGUCGUGUCCCAGGGCACCAAACACAUCCCAGUCUGAGCAGACUCCAAUCUCCUCACCAAAUGAGAGCAGCUAGAAGGAGACUCGUGGAGCCUUUGGUGAGAACAGGUCCCACUCAUGCUUCCAAGGGUCUUGUGAAAUGAUGGGGUCCAAGAGUCAGUGACUCAGGGGGCGGGAAUUCAGAGGACCUUGGCAAUCGGGGGCUAUCCCGGUCCCCAGCCACAGAGACCACCGUCCCAUCUCCAGCCGGAACUAUGGCACUAAGACCAGCACUUGCUUCACAUUCGUGGGAACUGACAUAUGGUAUAAUUUUUUUUUUAAAUCUUCCAAGUUCCCUAGGCAGCUUUGACGUGAAUAUUAAUACUAACAUAAUUUCAUGAUGAUUAGAGAACACAAUUAGGGGCUAUUAAUAAUGACACAAAUAAUGACAUUUAAGGCCUCAUUUUUAAUUUGAGUAAUAUUCUGGCUGGUGGUAUUUAAACAGCUCUGUCUAGCACAAUUAGGGCAGUGCUAGGGUGCAGUCACUGCUCACAGAAUCUGUCAGGCCCACCUCACUCACCCACCUGCGUGGCAGAGGAGAUGAAUGGGGGAGACUGCCCCAUGCCUGAGAGGCUGCAGCCAUGCGUGGCCCCUCGGAGAGGAGACCUUGUGAGCAGAUUGCAACAGAAGUCCAAAUGGAGAAAGAUGGCUGGUGGCUGGACUGGAGCCCAGUGAGAAGCAAGAUACUUCCAUCUUCAGGUACCAUGCUCCUCCUCAGAGCUGGAGGGACAGUGCAGCUGUCCAUGUUUCCAGCCCAGCUGUACUCGAGCUGUAGAAUGUAGCUUCUAUCUAGUCCCAGAAGCCUCUCCAAGCCCUCUUCUUCAGUCACAUUACCCCACUCCUGUUGUAGCAUAUAGCAUGCUCGAUUCUAAUCAUCUGUUUACUUAUCUACCUCCCCAGUGGGCUGCUCACUUCUUGAAGGGUUGAGGUGUCUGAGCUCCCAGGCACAUAAUAAGCUCUCAGUGAGUGUUUGUUGAAUGACUUGAUGACCAAACGACAGGGUCCUGCCUUUCAUCUUAGGGUGCAUGUUGAAAGCUGAAAUCCCAUGACAGCAUUAUAGCUGCAAAAGCUCUAAACUGCAUCUUUUGAAUGUUUCUGACCAACGGCAAUGAUGUGGAAGAUGACUGUGCAGGUGGAGGGGGUGCACAGGAAGGAAAUGUCUGUGAAAGACAAAACUUCAGUGGCUAAGCAGGUGGAAAACCCGUGACGCUUAGGAACUAAAAUAACCCAAAAGUCCUUGACCUUGCUCAAUGAGCAUUAACCAGUUGGAGGUUAGUAUUUGUGGUGGUGUAGGCUCAGUUCUAUAUGCAGAGAACUGACAAUUAAGGCUGGACUAGAAGUUAGGUUUUCUCCCCCUUCAGGUUUCUAUAGCAAAAAGGAGGAACCAAAACACCAACUUCCUGAUGACUGACGAUCUUAAAUGAAUAAGU